This 395-nucleotide long non-coding RNA is filed under the name Capsicum annuum. RNAcentral describes it as "long non-coding RNA (CANN_LNC008387)". The record is from RNAcentral. Lineage: Eukaryota; Viridiplantae; Streptophyta; Magnoliopsida; Solanales; Solanaceae.
CUCCCUUAGUUGUCCAUUGAUACAAUGAGCCUCGUUAAAACCUUAUUAAGGAAAAACCUUAUGGGAAGAAAAAUUUUAGUGAAGGAAAAAGAGUACACAUAUAUUAUUACACACAUUAUUUUCUGCCUCGUUAAAAACCUUGCCAGGAAACCCAUUUGGGACAAAACCUAGGCCAAGGGAAAAAGAGUGCAACAUGUACUAUACUCCCUCGAUGCAAACAUCAUUUUAUUUCUCAAAGAUGGCGCAUCCCAAUCUUGAAUAUUAUCUUCGCAAAUGUUGAGGUUGGUAAUGAUUUAGUGAACAAGUCUACCAAAUUAUUAGCCAAACGAAUUUGGUGAACAUCUAUUUCACCUUUCAUCUCAAGAUCAUGAGUGAAAUUUUUUUUUUGGUGAAAU